RNAcentral lists this ribosomal RNA (292 nucleotides) under uncultured Acinetobacter sp. RNAcentral's name for it is "partial 16S ribosomal RNA". It matches the Rfam family "Bacterial small subunit ribosomal RNA", at positions 505 to 796 of the family's 1533-position model. The record is from RNAcentral. Lineage: Bacteria; Pseudomonadati; Pseudomonadota; Gammaproteobacteria; Moraxellales; Moraxellaceae.
GUGUCAGCCGCCGCGGUAAUACAGAGGGUGCGAGCGUUAAUCGGAUUUACUGGGCGUAAGGCGUGCGUAGGCGGCUUUUUAAGUCGGAUGUGAAAUCCCUGAGCUUAACUUAGGAAUUGCAUUCGAUACUGGGAAGCUAGAGUAUGGGAGAGGAUGGUAGAAUUCCAGGUGUAGCGGUGAAAUGCGUAGAGAUCUGGAGGAAUACCGAUGGCGAAGGCAGCCAUCUGGCCUAAUACUGACGCUGAGGUACGAAAGCAUGGGGAACAAACAGGAUUAGAUACCCGCGUAGUCC